RNAcentral lists this ribosomal RNA (460 nucleotides) under uncultured bacterium. RNAcentral's name for it is "partial 16S ribosomal RNA". It matches the Rfam family "Bacterial small subunit ribosomal RNA", at positions 338 to 795 of the family's 1533-position model. The record is from RNAcentral.
CCUACGGGAGGCAGCAGUGAGGAAUAUUUGUCAAUGGACGAGAGUCUGAACCAGCCAAGUAGCGUGAAGGAUGACUGCCCUAUGGGUUGUAAACUUCUUUUAUAUGGGAAUAAAAUGUUCCACGUGUGGGAUUUUGUAUGUACCAUAUGAAUAAGGAUCGGCUAACUCCGUGCCAGCAGCCGCGGUAAUACGGAGGAUCCGAGCGUUAUCCGGAUUUAGUGGGUUUAAAGGGAGCGUAGGUGGAUUGUUAAGUCAGUUGUGAAAGUUUGCGGCUCAACCGUAAAAUUGCAGUUGAAACUGGCAGUCUUGAGUACAGUAGAGGUGGGCGGAAUUCGUGGUGGAGCGGUGAAAUGCUUAGAUAUCACGAAGAACUCCGAUUGCGAAGGCAGCUCACUGGACUGCAACUGACACUGAGGCUCGAAAGUGUGGGUAUCAAACAGGAGUAGAUACCCUAGUAGUC